AAUUUGGAAAUUUAUGUUUACGAAAUUGUAUUUGCGAAUUGUGAUUUAUGAUGAGUAAUUUAUGAUUUGAUGAGGGAAUAGGAUAUUAGGAAUGAUUAUUGAUUUGGGAAUUCACGUUUAGGAUGACAUUUUGUAGAUUAUGGAACGAUUUUUUCAACCAAAACGAAAGUUCAUACCCAAUUCUUCUACUUCUAGUUGUGCAUCUAGUCUCGCCAUUGAUUCUAGUCAAGCACAAGAGUUAUUGAAUAACACAAAGAAGUCUCGGGCUCAAUUUAAUGUGGAUGAUCUUGUAUCUGAUCCAGGGAUACGCCCCCUAUCGAAUCAUAUGGUCCUAAUAUCAGAGAUAUUGUUAGGAUGACAUACUUGGAGAAAGGUCAUUGUCAACCAUAUGAACAUGAUUUUCCAAGAAGACCGAUGGGGAAUGAUAAUAGAUGUUUUCGAAAAGAAUAGUUCUCCAAAUUUCAUUGGUUGGAAUACAGUAUAGAAAAGGAUGCGGUGUAUUGUUUGCAUUGCUACCUGUUCAAACCUGAUAGAGGGGGUCAAGGGGGUGGACAUAUAUUUACUAAGACCGGCUUUAGGGAUUGGAAGCACAAAAAGACAUUGAAAGAUCGUGUCGAUCUCUUUGAUAGUUCUCAUAGUCAAGCUUUUGCAAAGUGUACCAACUUGAUGAAUCAAAAGCAAAGUAUCUCUUACGUUAUUUCUAGCCAAAGUAGUAGUCAAUAACAAAGUUAGACCAGGUUGACUGCGGUGCUAGAUUGUACUAGACUCCUCUUGAUGCAAGGAUUGUCAUUUCUUGGUCAUGAUGAAUCGAAAGAGUCUCUUAAUAGCGGAAAUCUAAUUGAGUUAUUGAACUAGUAUGUAGCUCGUUGUAAGGAAAUUAAAGAAGUAUUAUUUAGUAAUACUCCUGAAAAUGACCAAAUGACUUCACCAACCAUCCAAAAGGAUUUUGUUAAUUGUUGUGCCGUGGAGACGACAAGGGCUAUUAUCAAUGAGAUUGGUGAUUCUUUGUUUUCAAUUUUGGUUGAUGUAGCUCGUGAUAAUUUUGUGAAAGAACAAAUAGCAGUUGUUUUAAGGUUUGUUGAUAAAAGUGGGUGAGUGAAGAAGCAUUUUUUGGGUAUGUCCCAUGGCACUGAUACUUGUGCCCAAUCACUGAAGGAUGUCAUUGAUGCAAUGUUUUCUACACAUGGGUUGAGUAUAUCUAGUCUGAGAGGUCGAGGCUAUGAUGGAGCAAAUAAUAUGUCAGGUGAGUUUAAUGGGUUGAAAGCUUUAAUUCUUAGAGAGAACCCACGUGCUAUGUAUGUUCAUUGUUUCGCUCACCAGCUUCAGUUGGCAAUUGUAUAUGUGGCACGUAGGAAUUGUAUGGUUGGUGAUUUUUUGGACGUACUUGUUAUUAUUGUGAAUUUGGUUGGUGCAUCAUGUAAGCGUGUAGAUGCUCUUCGAGCAAGUUAUCAAGCUAAUAUUCUGGAGAAACUUAAUACUGGGAAACUUACUGGUGAAAGUGGCCAGUUUCAAGAAAUGAGUUUGGCACGCCCAGGUGAUACUAGGUGGGGCUCACAUUUAUUUACAGUUACUCGUUUCAUUAAUAUGUUUAAUGUUAUUAUAGAUAUUCUUGAGAAUAUAUGAGAAGAUGGCAUACAUUCAGAUCAAAAAUCUUCGGCCUUAAGACAGAUGAACAAUAUGUAAGAUUUUUAGUUUGUGUUCAGUCUUCACUUUAUGUUUGAAAUUCUUGCAAUAACAGAUGACCUUUCACAAGCCUUACAGAAAAGGAUUAGGAUAUUCAGAAUGCUAUGAGGUUAUUGAAUUUGUGUAAGUGUGCAUUGCAGAACUUGAGAGAGAAUGGUUGGGUUACUUUGUUCAGUAGGGUGAUUGAGUCUUGUGUUGAUAGACAUAUUUUAGUGCCUAAUAUGGAGGAUAUUGUAGUAGUGAAAGGUCAACCUAGGCGUUUAGCUCAGCAGGUGACUUAUUUUCAUCGCUUUUAUGUUGAUUUGUAUUGUCAUAUGAUAGAAUCAAUCUUGCAAGAGUUGAAUAAUCGAUUUCCAGAAACAACUACUGAGCUCUUUACUUACAUUUCAUGUUUAAGUCCAAAAGAUUCAUUUGCAGCUUUUGAUAAGGAUAAAUUGCUACGUCUUGCUCAGUUAUCCUUUGGACUUCAAUAGUGAAGAACUUUUAUUACUUAGACCUCAACUUGAUAAGUUUCUUUUACUUGUGAGAAUGGACGAAGCUUUCUUUAAUCUCCAUAGUAUAUCCUGUGUAGCUCAGAAGUUGAUUGAAACUAGAAGUUCCUAUUAUUUUCCAUUGCUGCUCACCUUGACUUUAUUAUUACCUGUGGCAACUGCAAGUGUUGAAAGGGUAUCUUCUGCUAUGAAUCUAAUCAAUAGUGAUUUGCACAACAAAAUGAGAGAUGACUGGUUGAAUGACAAUUUGGUGGUUUAUGUGGAAAAGCUAUUUUUAAAAAACUUGAGAAUGAGGCAAUAUUGCAUCGUUUUCAAAUCAUGAGACCCC
RNAcentral lists this long non-coding RNA (2502 nucleotides) under Olea europaea subsp. europaea. Lineage: Eukaryota; Viridiplantae; Streptophyta; Magnoliopsida; Lamiales; Oleaceae. The record is from RNAcentral.